RNAcentral lists this small RNA (111 nucleotides) under Atribacterota. Its description in RNAcentral is "Candidatus Atribacteria Guanidine-I sequence". It matches the Rfam family "Guanidine-I riboswitch aptamer". Rfam says of the family: This family represents a conserved RNA structure found upstream of the ykkC and yxkD genes in Bacillus subtilis and related genes in other bacteria. The function of this family is unclear although it has been suggested that it may function to switch on efflux pumps and detoxification systems in response to harmful environmental molecules. Nelson showed that this riboswitch senses and responds to guanidine and it was renamed Guanidine-I riboswitch. Lineage: Bacteria; Pseudomonadati. The record is from RNAcentral.
CAGAAGUGUAUCUAGGGUUCCGUCUAAUUAAUGGUUAGAGUCUGGACCAAGCGAUGCAAAGUAUCCAAGCUGAUAUGGAUAUUACACUUUUAGGAUAAAAGCCUGAGAGAU